Molecule: small nuclear RNA, 107 nt
Filed under: Propithecus coquereli (Coquerel's sifaka)
Lineage: Eukaryota; Metazoa; Chordata; Mammalia; Primates; Indriidae
Source: RNAcentral
GCGCUCGCUUCAGCAGCACACGUACUAAAACUGGAACAAUACGGAGAAGAUAAGCAUGGCCCCUAUGCAAGGAUGACACGCAAAUUUGUGUAGCGUUACAUAUUUUU